AGCUUUGUGCAAUGGCAGGAUCGCAGCCAAUGAGGUUUACUUGAUGGAAAAUUCUUCUCAAUACCCUGCCAUGAUGACUUGAUAUAUAGUCAGCAUUGGCAAUUUUUGACAGUCUCUCCAAAGA
Molecule: small nuclear RNA, 124 nt
Organism: Aotus nancymaae (Ma's night monkey)
Lineage: Eukaryota; Metazoa; Chordata; Mammalia; Primates; Aotidae
Gene: U4
Rfam family: U4 spliceosomal RNA
About the family: U4 small nuclear RNA (U4 snRNA) is a component of the major U2-dependent spliceosome.
Source: Ensembl